AUUGAACGCUGGCGGCAGGCCUAACACAUGCAAGUCGAGCGAGUGGCGGACGGGUGAGUAAUGUCUGGGAAUCUGCCCGAUAGAGGGGGAUAACUACUGGAAACGGUGGCUAAUACCGCAUACUAUCGGAUGAACCCAGAUGGGAUUAGCUAGUAGGUGGGGUAAAGGCUCACCUAGGCGACGAUCCCUAGCUGGUCUGAGAGGAUUAACAGCCACACUGGAACUGAGACACGGCCCAGACUCCUACGGGAGGCAGCAGUGGGGAAUAUUGCACAAUGGGCGCAAGCCUGAUGUAGCCAUGCCGCGUGUAUGAAGAAGGCCUUCGGGUUGUAAAGUACUUUCAGCGGGGAGGCGUUACCCGCAGAAGAAGCACCGGCUAACUCCGUGCCAGCCGCCGCGGUAAUUC
This 406-nucleotide ribosomal RNA is filed under the name uncultured bacterium. RNAcentral's name for it is "partial 16S ribosomal RNA". It matches the Rfam family "Bacterial small subunit ribosomal RNA", at positions 30 to 526 of the family's 1533-position model. The record is from RNAcentral.